AGAAUUUUGGGCAAUGGGCGAAAGCCUGACCCAGCAAUGCCGCGUGCGGGAUGAAGGUCUUCGGAUUGUAAACCGCUGUCAAGAGGGACGAAAUUUGACGGUACCUCUGAAGGAAGCCACGGCUAACUACGUGCCAGCAGCCGCGGUAAUACGUAGGUGGCGAGCGUUGUUCGGAUUUAUUGGGCGUAAAGGGUCCGCAGGUGGUUGGUUAAGUUUGAUGUGAAAUCCCGGAGCUCAACUCCGGAACUGCAUUGAACACUGACCGACUAGAGUAUCGGAGAGGAGAUUGGAAUUCCAGGUGUAGCGGUGGAAUGCGUAGAUAUCUGGAAGAACACCGAAAGCGCAGGCAGAUCUCUGGACGAUUACUGACACUCAGGGACGAAAGCAUGGGUAGCAAACA
This 400-nucleotide ribosomal RNA is filed under the name uncultured bacterium. RNAcentral's name for it is "bacterial SSU rRNA". It matches the Rfam family "Bacterial small subunit ribosomal RNA", at positions 358 to 774 of the family's 1533-position model. The record is from RNAcentral.